AUAUGUUCUCAGCAACUGCAUGAAAAGAAGCUUCUUUCCCAUUCCAUCUAUCAGAAGCCCCCGGUACCAGGCUCUAAAAUGACCAACCUGGGUCAAGUGUUCAUUCUUGUACUCUUCUCUAUGGCCAGAGGUUCACAGGUGCUGUGAUGUCUUUCACAGGCAAUGGAUAAAGCAUCCUGCAUUGUCCUAGGCACACUCUGUAGGGAAGAUAUGGGAAUCUGAAGUCAACUUUGCCAAAAUUGUGAGGAUUGCUAAUGUGAGAUGAGAAUCUACUCACAAACAUUAAGAAGGUAACAUGAUGAGUGAAGUAAAGAUGGAGUCUCACUCUGUCACCAGCCUGGAGUGCAGUGGCGCAAUCUCAGCUCACUGCAACCUCCGCCUCCUGGGUUCAAGCAAUUGUCCUGCCUCAGCCUCCCCAACUAGCUGGGACUACACGCACACGCCACUACACCUGGCUAAUUUUGUAUUUUUAGUAGAGACAGGUUUCUCCAUGUUGACCAGAUCUCGAACUCCUGACCUCAGGUGAUCUGCCCGCCUUGGCCUCCCAAGGUGCUGGAAUUACAGGCUUGACCCACCGCUCCCAGCCUGUUUUCUAUUCUUGACCAAAAAAUAGAACCAUCUAAACAAGUUGUCUAUAACAGAGAUUUCUGGGUUGCAUAAUUAUUCAAUGAAUUAGUUUCUCAGGGAGAAACCCACAUUUUCCCAAAAGUUACCAAGCAGCUGAUGACCAGCAAGUUUUGCAAAUCUGUUACAGACCAACUCUUUCUUCUUUCGUAACUUUCACGUUAUAUGUUGUCUCCCUUCUUUAUAUUCUCCAUUCCAUUUAUAUUCAUUUAAGGCAUUUAUAUUCAUUCAGGCAGUGUGCUAGCUAUAAAGGCAGACAUAUAGAAAAUAAAGAAAUUGACUCUGACCUUGAGGGUUGAGAAGUAGGGCAUGGUGAGAAAAUGAAAGAGAGGUAGACACCACUUAAACUAGUAACUACAAAUUAAGUUCUAUAAUACAGUUAUGAAGUGCUUUGUGAGUGUUGCUAGUUGAAUUGUGUCUCCCCUCAGCAAAAUAUAUUCAAGUCCUAAACCCCAGUACCUGUAAAUGUGACUUUAUUUGGAGACUGGGUGUUUGCAGAUGUAAUCAAGGUAAAAUGAGAUCAUGCUGGAUUAUGGUGGACCCUAAAUAUGAUGACUGGUGUCCUUUCAAGGAAACAGAGCUUCAGAAAUACAGACAGCCACAGAAAGAAGGCCGUGCACAGACAGAGGCAGAAAUUUGAGUGAUUUGGCUACAAGCCAAAGAACUGCAAGGAUUGCCGACAACACUAAAAGCUAGGAAAAGGAGAGGAGGCAUUCUUGCCUAGAGCCUUCAGAAGGAGAAUGGCCCUGUGCUAUUUUGAUUUCAGAUGUUUAAUUUCCAGAACUGGAGAGAAUAGAUUUCUGUUGUUCUAAACCACCCAGUUUGUGAUGACUUGUUAAGGCAGGAAACUACUACAGUGAGUAUCCGUUAAAUGGCUUCAUUUUGCAGGAAAACAAAAGAUUGGAAUGGUCAGUGAAACAUAUAAAAACC
This 1554-nucleotide long non-coding RNA is filed under the name Homo sapiens (human). RNAcentral describes it as "HSALNT0361994". The record is from RNAcentral. Lineage: Eukaryota; Metazoa; Chordata; Mammalia; Primates; Hominidae.